UCAACAACGGAUCUCUUGGCUCUGGCUUCGAUGAAAACGCAGCGAAAUGCGAUAAGUAAUGUGAAUUGCAGAAUCCAGUGAAUCAUCGAAUCUUUGAACGCACAUUGCGCCCGCCAGCUUCUGGCGGGCAUGACCUGUUAGAGCGUAUUUC
Molecule: ribosomal RNA, 151 nt
Filed under: Beauveria bassiana
Lineage: Eukaryota; Fungi; Ascomycota; Sordariomycetes; Hypocreales; Cordycipitaceae
Description: 5.8S ribosomal RNA
Rfam family: 5.8S ribosomal RNA
About the family: 5.8S ribosomal RNA (5.8S rRNA) is a component of the large subunit of the eukaryotic ribosome. It is transcribed by RNA polymerase I as part of the 45S precursor that also contains 18S and 28S rRNA.
Source: RNAcentral